AGUUGACGAGCGUUUGGAAUAUCAUUAUAUUUGACUUUUUAGAAGACGCAGCUGGAUUAGAGCGGGUAGUGUCACAGGUCAGGAGAUUCAGAGCAGUGAUCGUGCGGUUUAGAGAAUUAGUAUUAGAUUUAUAACAUUUGUUUUGUGAGGAGAAUUAUACUCUUUGACUUUUAUAAUUUGUUUUAGUGAGAGUGUGCUGUAAUAAGUAGCUUGAGGAUUUGGUUUAUGUAAUAUCAAGAGGUGUAAUUAGUGGUUGCUUCUGAGAGAAAAAUUCAGAAUGUAUUUGUAUCAUUAUUAGUCAUGUUCCGGAUUAGAAUCCUUAUUUCAAAAUUCGGGGUGUGACAGAUCGGGUAUACCUCAAAACUGGCCCGUCCCGGCCCGUGCCCAGCCCUACUCUUGGCCAUGAUUGUUGGAAAGUAUCGGUGCAUGAAGUUUUUCAUGAUAUAGCCUUGUAUCGCCCAACAAGCGAGUUUAGUAAACUGUAUGCAUCCACAGGAAGUAUGAUUGCAUGGCCUAUCAAGUACAUCAAAGUGAAUUAGGCAUUUUGGAGGUAAAAGUUGGCAUCAAACAUAAUAUGAAGAUGUUCAAGAGGCCACAACAUAGAUCACUAUAGAUUUAUCUUUUGCAAUUAACAAAGACAAUUCUAAUCUAAGGUGGUCUCUAAUAAUCUAGAAUAUUUUAUAUUUUAGCAUGGUGAUGAUAGACUGUUGGUUUAAUUAAGUUGUUUUUAUAUAGUACUAGUGUUGUUGGCAUAUUCAUUUAUAUUUGGUAAUGUGAUACUUGCAGUUUGUUA
This is a long non-coding RNA of Rosa chinensis, 793 nucleotides long. RefSeq lists it as uncharacterized. Lineage: Eukaryota; Viridiplantae; Streptophyta; Magnoliopsida; Rosales; Rosaceae. The transcript has 3 exons. The record is from RefSeq and is a predicted model, not a curated record.